RNAcentral lists this ribosomal RNA (253 nucleotides) under uncultured bacterium. Its description in RNAcentral is "partial 16S ribosomal RNA". It matches the Rfam family "Bacterial small subunit ribosomal RNA", at positions 524 to 776 of the family's 1533-position model. The record is from RNAcentral.
UACGUAGGGUGCAAGCGUUGUCCGGAAUUAUUGGGCGUAAAGAGCUUGUAGGCGGUUUGUCGCGUCUGCUGUGAAAUUUCGGGGCUCAACCCCGAACUUGCAGUGGGUACGGGCAGACUAGAGUGUGGUAGGGGAGACUGGAAUUCCUGGUGUAGCGGUGAAAUGCGCAGAUAUCGGGAGGAACACCUAUGGCGAAGGCAGCUCGCUGGGACGGUACUGACGCUGAGACGCGAAAGCGUGGGGAGCAAACAGG